RNAcentral lists this ribosomal RNA (522 nucleotides) under Triticum aestivum (bread wheat). RNAcentral's name for it is "partial small subunit ribosomal RNA". The record is from RNAcentral. Lineage: Eukaryota; Viridiplantae; Streptophyta; Magnoliopsida; Poales; Poaceae.
AUGGACAUCAAGUACCCUAAGGGCUUCGUCAAGAAGGUGAGGCAGGCGAUCGUGGCAUUGGCGGUGGAAGGGGUGAAGUACAAGGAGUGUAGUAGGAACCACGCGCUGGCUACCAGUGGGCAAGUCGUGGACGGCUGCGGGGAGUGGAUGCCGUUGGGGGACCUGAACCCCACCGAUGCAUCGUCAUACAAGUGGGCGGCUUGUGGCGGCCACUACAACUUGCACCACGAGAUGAUGAUGGAGAGGUCGCUGCUGCUACCGCCCAUGGCUGCAAUCAUCCAGAGGCUCCCCGCCCAGCUCUUGCCGGCGACGGCGCCACCGCCCCAUGUGGUUAUGUCGGCGAGGAAGUGGUCCUACACCAUGUUCACUACCUACCAGAAGAUGCGGAUGCAGGAGCUGUCGAAGCACCUAGGGUGGCGCCUGCAGAAGCGCGAUAAGGACAUCAUCAAAGCGAGGUGCCAUGACAUUGGCAUCAGUAAGGACGUCUUUAGGAACUGGAGGCACAACAAUAAGCGCAACUAA